CAAGCUCCAGUUCUCAAAAAGUCCCGGGAACCAAUUUUCUGUAUGUGUUUUAUUGCCUUAUUCAAGUGAUUUAACAUUUUUAGUUUUUCACUAACCACGCAUAACAUUUUUUUUCUCAAAAACACAAUCAUGUACAUACAUGCUGCUCACAUAUUAUUAUAGCCUAGUUUGUGCUGAUUACAGUGAGAUUAAACUUUAGCCAUUUAGAUAUUUAUAAGAAACUGAAAAAGGCACAAAUGUCAGGGCAUGACAAAACUUCUUCAGGCCCCAAAAAUACCCUUAGACUCCAGAGGGUUAAGUUAUUUAUAUUGUUUUAUGGGUUAUUAAGUUAAUGUAUUGGAUAGCUUUUCCAACCUACUGCUCAAUUUUUAUACUUUUGACAGGGAGACAACUCAGAAGUAGUCAAUUCAGGAAGACAGCUCCUAAAUUUGUUCACAAAUGCAAUACCUUCCCCUGGUCCUGUUGGACCCAGUGCCCAACAUCAAACUUGCCCAGAGACUCCAAGGUGUUGUCUAGUUUCCCAACAAAUAACACACACACAGAGAUUAACAUGUAUAAAAUAAUGUGAUGCAUCUUCUGAACACGGCAUGUCAUUCUAGCAGACAGGAAAGGAGUCAGGAAAGAGGGAGAGAUGGCCGACCCAGUGUCCACACAGAAAUGACAAGGUCUUUUCCUGCCCUUUUUGGAGCCAGUGGAAAGCGCUGGCGUGUUCAAGGGCCUUCCAACCACUUCACACCAGUCAAAGAGAUAGAAGUUACAUUUUAUCUCUUACCCAAGAUUGUUGAGCACACUCCCAAAGGCAGUGAAGAAGUUUUCCAUCUGCAAGCUGGUUUGGGACGCAGGUCCACGCUGAUACCAGGGAACUACACCCAUGAUGAGGUAUGUUCAACUCUCAAAGAUCUUUGUCCAAAACUUGAAAGUGUGUCUGGGGGCUGGCUGAUUUACAAAGGAGCAGGUACCUAGAACUUACCCAUGGAAAAUCUAAUCUUGGUAUAAAAUCAUUUGAAUCAAUAUCUUGAGUGAUGAGCUUUCUGUAGAUAUAUUUAUCAUGUAUGUGAGACGCCACAAUUUUAAGUUAAUUCAUAAUCAAGAAAAAUUUCAAGUGAUCAAGAGGGCGCCUCCCUGUCCUGCAUGCGCAUUAAUAAUUUUCGCACAAACACUUGAAUAUGAAUAAUAAUUCACAUUUUGCAUAUGCAUUACAACGUAAAUUAUUUUUUACAUGCAAUUAUCCAAAAUAAAACCAAACAAGAUUUGUAAUGAAGAUAAAACAAAUAAGAAUAAAUGCUGCGCGUGCACUCAGCAUGACUCGCGCCGCGCAAAUCUUGCACGCAGACAAAUUUACACACCUGCAUUUAAAUGCGGCUGCAAUUUUAUUUUUUUACUUAAAUUAUAUGAAAGCAAGUAAAGAAGGCUCCCUUUAAAAUUACUGAAGUUGUCAAUUAAUGAAGCUCUUAUUUACAUUGUGUGUAUUUUGUUGAUUAUAAUGAGAGAACUUGAGUUUAAACAUGAGAACGUUUUAUUAAUCCGUCCAUUCUUUAGACUUUCAAUGAUUUAGCUAAAUUGUGCAGGUUUAAUUUAUUCGUUUCUUGUUUUAAUUAGGCCUAAAUAAUGGGAACGAAAUUAUACAGUGCCUCACGUUUUACUAAAAUAAAGAAAAUAAUUUAUAAAACACGCAACAAUUUCUUAAUCAGUCUACAGACAAAUAUAUUUUCCCAAGAAGUUGUCUGUCAAAAUAAAGGACAGGUAACGAAUAACAAAAAUGCAUGUUGUUUUAUUAAAGGAAUUUUAAAAUAUAAAUUAAAAUAUAGGCCUAAUAUAUGAGAAUAUUGACAUUUUGCAAAUAAAUCCAUGUAGCCAAGCUCACUAAAAUAGGCUACCACUUUUAAUGCUACGAUGCAAAGUAAACCACAAUUUAUUUUGAAUAAUAUAACACAUAAUUCAUAUUAUAUAAAUAAUACUGCACACCUAUUAAAUGUGUUAAAUCUAAAAUAUGGUGUAAUACUGUGUAGCUUAGAGAAAAUAUAAGCACAGGCACAGGCUUGACAUUUAUCCUGCUUGAAUUCGUUCUAAGAAAUGCACAUAACUUCAUAAGUACCAAACUUUCAUCUGUGAAUAUUAAAUAUUUUAACUAUAGUGUUUUUUUUUUUCAUUUUCCCUGACUGCAGCCGUCAAAUGUAACACAUCAGCGAGGCAAAUCUGUCGUCUAUUUGCGAAAAUGUGCUUUGAUGCGCUUGUUUGAAAACUUG
Molecule: long non-coding RNA, 2246 nt
Organism: Cyprinus carpio carpio
Lineage: Eukaryota; Metazoa; Chordata; Actinopteri; Cypriniformes; Cyprinidae
Source: Ensembl